RNAcentral lists this long non-coding RNA (323 nucleotides) under Cyanistes caeruleus (blue tit). Its description in RNAcentral is "lncRNA (ENSCCEG00000017049.1)". The record is from RNAcentral. Lineage: Eukaryota; Metazoa; Chordata; Aves; Passeriformes; Paridae.
CCUGCAUUGUGAAAACAUUUACACAUUUGGAUUAGCUCUGCUGGAGAGCAACAGGCAAAAUUCAAAGAUGUCAUGUAAACUACUAGGUUAGCCCAAAACAAACCAAUCAGGCAAUCAAGCAAGCCAUCAGUUUCUUGCACCAGAUGUAAGAAUGUUGAGACAUAUGGAAAACAAAAUCAGCUACAGCAAGAAUGAGCUACCAGUCAUAAUUUUGUCACUAUGGAUGCAACUGCAGAGAAACACAUGCACGUUCUGACAGCUGCUCUGUUCCACAAGGAUUAAAACAGCAGGAAGACUGGCAAUGUGAAAGAGAGAAAACAGAG